UACGUAGGGGGCUAGCGUUGUCCGGAAUCAUUGGGCGUAAAGAGCAUGUAGGCGGUCCGGUAAGUCCGCUGUGAAAGUCGGGGGCUCAACCCUCGAAUGCCGGUGGAUACUGUCGGGCUAGAGUGCGGAAGAGGCGAGUGGAAUUCCUGGUGUAGCGGUGAAAUGCGCAGAUAUCAGGAAGAACACCCGUGGCGAAAGCGGCUCUCUGGGACGGUACUGACGCUGAGACGCGAAAGCGUGGGGAGCGAACAGG
RNAcentral lists this ribosomal RNA (253 nucleotides) under uncultured bacterium. RNAcentral describes it as "partial 16S ribosomal RNA". It matches the Rfam family "Bacterial small subunit ribosomal RNA", at positions 524 to 776 of the family's 1533-position model. The record is from RNAcentral.